UGAGGAAUAUUGCACAAUGGGCGAAAGCCUGAUGCAGCAACGCCGCGUGAGGGACGAAGGCCCUCGGGUCGUAAACCUCUUUUCUGGGGGAAGAGACAGGACGGUACCUCAGGAAUAAGUCUUGGCUAACUACGUG
This 136-nucleotide ribosomal RNA is filed under the name uncultured bacterium. RNAcentral describes it as "partial 16S ribosomal RNA". It matches the Rfam family "Bacterial small subunit ribosomal RNA", at positions 355 to 507 of the family's 1533-position model. The record is from RNAcentral.